This 252-nucleotide unclassified non-coding RNA is filed under the name uncultured Ascomycota. RNAcentral describes it as "sequence contains ITS2". The stretch from base 1 to 52 matches the Rfam family "5.8S ribosomal RNA", at positions 103 to 154 of the family's 154-position model. Lineage: Eukaryota; Fungi; Ascomycota. The record is from RNAcentral.
AACGCACAUUGCGCCCUUUGGUAUUCCGAAGGGCAUGCCUGUUCGAGCGUCAUUAUCAACCCUCAAGCUCGGCUUGUUGUUGGACCCAAGGGAAGUUGACCCUUCCCUGGUCUUGAAGACAAUGACGGCGUCUGGAGGACCCCUCAACACAAUGAGCUUUUUAAGCACGUGUUGUGGCGGAUCUUUAGGCUCGGCCUCUUUUUAUUUUUUCAGGUUGACCUCGGAUCAGGUAGGGAUACCCGCUGAACUUAA